This 207-nucleotide long non-coding RNA is filed under the name Vitis vinifera (wine grape). RNAcentral's name for it is "long non-coding RNA (VVIN_LNC002813)". The record is from RNAcentral. Lineage: Eukaryota; Viridiplantae; Streptophyta; Magnoliopsida; Vitales; Vitaceae.
AGGUACGCAUCUACUCCUAUUCUAAUCAUUCUCUAUUACAUGUUUUGAUUCCCAUAUGCGCUUAAUCGAUUUGAGUACCCAUUGAUUUUCCUAUUGAUUGCCACGUCAGCUUCAUUUUAUUAGUAGAGACCCGACUUUAGGGACUUAGAGGGGUGCUAUGAUCUUAACCGUACCUUCCCGAUAAGUAACCUGACCCCCGAACCCGAU